AUUGAACGCUGGCGGCAGGCUUAACACAUGCAAGUCGAACGAGUGGCGGACGGGUGAGUAAUGCUUGGGAAUCUGCCUUAUGGAGGGGGAUAACUACGGGAAACUGUAGCUAAUACCGCGUACCAUAGGAUGAGCCCAAGUGGGAUUAGGUAGUUGGUGGGGUAAAGGCUCACCAAGGCGACGAUCCCUAGCUGGUCUGAGAGGAUGACCAGCCACACUGGGACUGAGACACGGCCCAGACUCCUACGGGAGGCAGCAGUGGGGAAUAUUGCACAAUGGGCGCAAGCCUGAUGUAGCCAUGCCGCGUGUAUGAAGAAGGCCUUCGGGUUGUAAAGUACUUUCAGUCGGGAGGCGUUACCGGCAGAAGAAGCACCGGCUAACUCCGUGCCAGCAGCCGCGGUAAUAC
Molecule: ribosomal RNA, 406 nt
Filed under: uncultured bacterium
Lineage: Bacteria
Description: partial 16S ribosomal RNA
Rfam family: Bacterial small subunit ribosomal RNA
Source: RNAcentral